UGGGUUGUGCGCUGAGGAGCAUCUGUGUCACAUGUCCAGCGCGGCGUCCCUCUUAACGCCAUUCUUCUCACGCCGCCUGGAAAGUGGUUCCAGCUCCACUCGGCAGAGGACUGGAGGAGAGGAACCCCUAAACUCUGAGAGGGCAGAAGACCCACUGUUGUGUUGUUGUGGAAGCGCAGUGUGAAGUUCCUCGGGUUCAGAAUGACCCCCAGGUCGAUUCCGGAGGUGCUGAAGCAGUUUGGAAAGAAGCUUCUGCGGGUGAAGGUGGUGAACUCCAGCAGCGACGAGACCCGCCUGUCUCGGUGCAUCAACACCCUGGACCUGGUGGCCCUGGGCGUCGGCAGCACGCUGGGCGCCGGCGUCUACGUGCUGGCCGGCGCCGUGGCCCGGGACGGCGCCGGACCCGCCAUCGUGCUGUCCUUCUUAAUGGCGUCGCUGGCCGCCGUCCUGGCCGGGUUGUGCUACGCAGAGUUCGGAGCUCGCGUCCCCAAAACGGGCUCGGCUUACCUGUACAGCUACGUGACGGUGGGGGAGGUGUGGGCCUUCAUCACCGGCUGGAACCUCAUCCUCUCCUACAUCAUCGGAACGUCGAGUGUGGCCCGGGCGUGGAGCGCCACCUUCGACGAGAUCUUUGGGAAACACAUCCAGGACUUCUGCAGGCGACACAUGGCAAUGAGCGCCCCGGGAAUCCUGGCGGAGUACCCGGACAUAUUCGCCGUCUUCAUCAUCCUCUUUCUGACAGGCGUCCUGGCAGUGGGAGUGAAGGAGUCGGUGAAGCUGAAUAAAAUCCUCACCUGCGUCAACAUGCUGGUGCUCUUGUUUGUCAUCAUCUCCGGCUUCGUCAAAGGAAGCCUCGAAAACUGGAACGUGGAUCCCGAAGAAGUCCUCAACGGCACGAGGAACUCCAGCUUCAACCGCCAGCAGAUUCUCGGUGGCGCGGGAAACUCCAGCUCCAACACCUCUGACUUCGUACCUGAAGCAGUGGUUCUGGGUGAAGGUGGCUUCAUGCCUUUCGGCUGGGCUGGAGUCCUCUCCGGCGCCGCCACCUGUUUCUAUGCCUUUAUCGGGUUCGACUGCAUUGCUACCACAGGAGAGGAGGUGAAGAAUCCCCAGAGAGCGAUUCCCAUCGGGAUUGUGGCCUCGCUCCUCAUCUGCUUCGUGGCGUACUUCGGCGUGUCCACGGCCCUCACCAUGAUGAUGCCUUACUACCUGCUGGACGUCAACAGCCCUCUGCCCGUGGCCUUUAAAUACGUGGGCUGGAUGCCCGCCACUUACGCCGUGGCCCUCGGCUCAAUAUGCGCCCUGUCGACCAGUCUCCUUGGCUCCAUGUUUCCACUCCCUCGCAUUAUCUUUGCUAUGGCGUGCGAUGGUCUGCUCUUCUCCUGUCUGGCUCGUGUCAGCGAGAGGAAGAUGCCCAUCAUCGCCACUUUGGUGGCAGGGUUCAUGUCUGCUGUGAUGGCCUUCCUGUUUGAUCUGAAGGACCUGGUGGACCUCAUGUCCAUCGGCACCCUGCUGGCUUAUUCCCUGGUGGCUGCGUGUGUGCUGGUCCUCAGGUACCAGCCCGAACGGCCCAUCGGCACCUACGAGAUGGCCAACACCCAGGAGGAUCCGGACAUGCCCGAGCCUGAUAACGAGGGAAACUUCGACAUCCUGCCGCAGUCCGGAUAUCGCUUCACCGUCAGAAACCUCCUGUUUCCGCCCAACACCGAGCCGUCGCACCGCUCUGGUUUUGCCGUGAAGAUCUGCACCGCCGUCCUCGGUGUGUUGGUGUGUAUUUUUGGGAUCGUGGCCGUCCUCGGGGGGCUGGCGCUCUGGUCCGUGGCUCUGCUCUGUAUCAUCGUAGCGAUCAGUCUGUUGACCACCUUUGUCGUGUGCAGGCAACCGCAGAGCAAAACCAAGCUGUCCUUUAAAGUGCCCCUGCUGCCCUUCGUCCCGGUCGUCAGCAUGUUUGUGAACGUUUACCUGAUGAUGCAGCUGGAUCGAGGGACCUGGGUCCGCUUCUUCAUCUGGAUGUGUUUAGGUUUCGCCAUCUACUUUGGCUACGGUUUCCGAAACAGCACAGAAGCGACUUCCAGCAGGUCUGAAGCCUGCACCAUCGAAGGAGAGCCCAUGGAGAGAGAGAAGGACGUUUACCUGCUCAAAAAACUCAACAUCAUCCCAGUAGAUGAAUAUGAAGACUCCUGAAGAGUUUUUUUUCAUAAUUUUUGGUUUUAGCUUCUGUAUAAAUCAUCAAUGGGCCCUAAGUUACAAACAGAUGUGAAAACAUCCCAUCUGUACACAAUCAGCUGUUUCCCCAAAUCAAUUCAAAGAGAUGUAUUUUUUUAAAAUUCAUAUUUAGGUAAAGAAUUUUAGAUUUGCUCUAUGAUACAGUCAACUCAGUAGACUCAGGACGGUCUGAAAACGAACAGUUGUUGUUUCUCACCUCUGGUCCUUUUCUCUGAGCUUGUGCUGUUGACAGAAAACAGUGUGACUUGCAGGAAGUACCAACAGAGAUGAAUUUUAAUUGUCUUUCAGUGUCACAAAGCUGAAGGUUUACUACAAAGAAAAAAGUUACACAGAUGUUACUCAGCUUUUUGUUACUGGGAGACAACAUUUUGCUCUGAUUGUUUCAUAAAUGAACACAUUAUGGUGCUCUAGUAACCUGUUAGUGUCGUGUGUGUGUGUGUGUGUGUGUGUGUGUGUGUGUGUGUGUGUGUGUGUGUAAGAGAGAGAACUGAUGGAUUUUAUCUUUCAACUCCCAUCAAAAGUAUUGAUAGUCACUUGUUGCUGCAGAUCAAAAACAUGAGUGUUAUCCGUCACACUUUCAGAGUCGGAUGUCCAUCUGAUUUAUCCUGCAGUGAUGUAGACAGUAUAUUCACUAAGUGCCCAUUUCUUAUAAUAAGUAUUGCAGGUAGCUCAAGCGAGAUUAAUGACAUUAAUGAGCAGAUUGUUGCUGAUAUUAAAUAAGAAGAAAAUUCACUUUUUAAACAUGUAGCUUUUUUUCUGAACUUCUAAAUAUCUUGUAAAUAACCAAAGAAGACUGUGUUGCAUUUGGUUUCUUGUUAGUUUCUUUUGUAAAUACCACUUUAGACACAUGGAUAGGUCAGAUGAAACUUGUAAACUUUCUGCUACAAAAUUCAUUUGCUCCUGUUUAUUACAGUUUUUGUAAAUUAUUAAGUUGCUGUAACUUGUACAGCUUUAAUAUGAGCUAUAAUGAUGUUGGCCUUCGCUGUCACAAAGUUACAUGUGGAGUAGACUAUUCGCUUUCGUCGUGCAUGAUAAGCUUGUAUUAAAAAUGUAGUUUUUAUGCAGCUCCAGUACCAGACACAAGCGAAUAGCGGACUGUUAUUAAGAGAAACAAAAACCAAACUGAUCGUUUCUUUUUUUCAAAAAUCACCGCCUCAGUUUCAUUGUUGAAAUGUUAGAAAUGGUGAGUUUUAUCCAAAACAUUUCCUGAUCAAUAAGUCGAACGUAGUUGAAAACUUGUUAAUUAAUCAGAGCUCAUAGUUCAGGAGAUAAGCGUCCUUGUAUUAGUUUUAUAAACUAAUUCUGGAACAUUUGCGCCAUGCAAUAUGAGGAAUUUAAAUUGAUUUUUUCACCAGUUGAUGGCAAUAGUUUGUAGCAUCAUGACUGGAUGUUGGGUUUGUA
RNA transcript from Salarias fasciatus (jewelled blenny), 3627 nucleotides. It is a transcript of the gene named high affinity cationic amino acid transporter 1-like, with no coding region annotated. The transcript is spliced from 13 exons. The record is from RefSeq and is a predicted model, not a curated record. NCBI's taxonomy places the organism in Eukaryota, Metazoa, Chordata, Actinopteri, Blenniiformes, Blenniidae.